UGCCAGCUGGUGUCUGAGCAUCUUUGCUAGGAGGGCUGUUAGUCUACUCUUUACUAAGGAUUUAUUUGGACAGAAAUCAACACAGUGGGGACAAUCAGGUAGUUUGGACUACAGUGCAACUUUGAGAUCUCAGCUGAUACAACAAUGUGGGCAGAGCUGAAGAUACCAGUAUCUCAGCUAGCAAAGCACAAAUGGAGAACGUAACUAUGAAAGAGCUUCUUGAGGACAAAUUGAUAGCAUAUCAAAUUGAUAGCAGGUGUCCAGAGAAUGCCUAGAUUUUAUCACCUGAAAUACAAAGAUCCAAAGAAAAUCAGAGACUGCAUCAUCCUGCAGAAUAUUGCUUCACACCUUUUUUUUUUUUUCUGCUGUGGCAAAAGUAUAAUAUUGGCAUCCUGGAGGAGAAAUGCUUGAAUUCUAUGCUACGGAGAAAAGGAGAAGAUCAAGAGAAAAAAAGGAACUUAAAAGAAGAAAGAAAACAGACACAAAGAUCUUUCUGGAGCAGCGUUUGAACCAAGAGUAGGAAUCAGAGUCUCCCCCAUCCUCAGUUUGCACAUGCAAAACCAAGAAGACUCUUUGCUCCAAACACUGAGAAACGUUUGGAAGAACCGGCAUUUCCUUGGACGAGCCUGUGACCAGAAAGAGAUGACAAGAAUGUUGUGUAUCAAAGGAAGUGAAAAAAUGAGGCAACUCAUUUCAUUGUAAAAGGCUUCUUCCCAACACUAUUAUGCCUGGAAUAGUAGAAUGUCUUUGUGAUACUAGCUGGAACUACUAUGAGGUAAUUAUAUGUAGUUACAUAAAACAGCUUAAUGCUAGCCCAGCAAAUUGUCUAAAAGAAGAGAAGGUAUUAUUGUUAAAUGUUUUGUCAUGAUGACCAUGCCCUUUAUUUAUCUCUAACACAACAUGCUUAUUCUGCCCCAUCUACUGUUUUCACCCUGCAAAUUUAUGAGGCUCUAUUAAUCUUCUGCCCUGCUGACUCUCUCUGUUGCAAAGUGUCAGCAGACUUUUGUACCUUGCUAAUGUACAAAGUGCUUCCUAUGAGUAAUAUCAGCAUUUUGCCUUUUAAUUGCACAUAUAAUUUUUAGGUCUUACAGCUAAUAAGGGAAUUGAGACCACAGUUCAUCAUUGUCUUGAAUGGUACUCCAGGGGUGUAGGGACUGUAGAAGCUCAGAGAAGAAUAUACUUGUCCUCGUUCCAAGCAGUAGUUUCUCUCAUUAUAGCAGCUCCAUUCACACCAGUACAGUUACAGGUCUGCCAGUAUUUCCAUUAUAAGCCCAAGUUUUGGGGAUUUCAAAACUGUUGUAAAAAUAUAUAAAACAUAGGAUAUGUUCUUUUGUCUUAGAUUUUUAUUUGCAUUAUUACUAUGCAUUUUUGUAUUAUUGUUGUUAUUAUUGUUUUGAUUACUAUUAUUAUUACAACUUUCUAUAGAAGUUGAUUUUUACUAUUUUAAAGACCUCAUUACUUGCAGGGGAGAAAACGUUUUGUAUCAAACUGAAAACUGGAAUUCCUCGUACUUGAACUAGGUUGUGAGUUUGUUCAUUGCUUGUUCCAUCUUUUCCAAUGAAAACCAAACGAUGCACAGUAGUUUUAUGCUAACAAACUUUAACAAGGAUGUUUCCCCUCAUUUUGAAAUUGAUAUUUCUGAGGAGUAUUCUUAUUGUUGAACCAAUUGGAGAGAAAAGUAUCAAUUUGCCUUCCUUCUUUUUCUAUAGUAGUAGUUAGUUAAAGAGAAGAUCUCAUGUAUCACAUGCCGGAGAGUUUGAAAAACAUGUGCCAAAUUGUGCAAUUAAGUGCUUCUCUCAAAAGCACGUAAAGUAAUAAAAAAUAAACAGAUUGACUACUGGAAUAUCAUGCCAUGGGAGCUGCUUGUAAGCAAAUGACAGGCUGUUCUUAACUAUCAGGCACUAUUUUAUUGUAGAAAAUUCCACAGAAGAAUCAAAGGUGUGGUAUAUUUUUGAGAUCCUGCUAGGAAUGUUGCUAACCAAGACACCACUUCGAACUCCUGGGCAUAAUGGAGGAAGUGUGGGAGGUAAAAACAAGGGCCUGUGGCUACACGGCCUCCAAGGGCACUUUUGCAUGAGAGAGUGAGAAGAUUUGGUAUGCCUUCAGAAGGCUCACGCUAUGCAGAUCCGCUGCUUUUUUUUAUUUCCUCUGUCUCUGAACACUCAGGAUUCCUGGGUGUGAUGACACUCCAGAACAUCUCAUGUCUUUCCCCUGGUUUUCUCACAAUUGCCCCACAGUUUGUCAACAUCUGCAUCAUAUUGGCUAUUUAUCUGAAGAUUUUUUAGCAUUUGAUUGUUAUAUCAUCUCCAGUUCUGGUAUUGUUGUUACAAAGUGAUGUAUUAUUCAUGCAAUCGAGGGCUCGGUUUUCAAACUUGUGGACUUCAUACCAUAUUACUAUCAUAAAUAUUGAUUUCAAGGCACCCAUAAGCAUUUUUAGUCCUUCACUGAAAACAUAAAAAAAGACAUCUGUACUCUGUGGAGCAUAAAAUCAAAGGUUAUAUACACAUGGCACAGUGGGAUGCCAAUCUAGAGAUCCCACAUAGAUGUCCAGACACACAGUAGGCAUUUGCGCAGAUAUGUGCCAGGACCCACAAGCUGUGUAGCUGCAUCUCCACACAUUUUGUGCUUUAGACUAAGUAACUGUCUCUCUUAAUGAGUUUGGACCCUUUGCUGCACUUAUACAACUACAUUGCUUCGUUUUCUGGGGUCAGAUCAGUGGAUAGUGGCAGCGCACUGGCAGAUGGCUUUUAUCGACAAGUCAGAUUAUAAUAAUACCAAAAAAGAAGAGGAACAAAGGCCAUGGUUUACAUAAUCCUGGCACUAAUUUUGAGCAUUCAAGUGGUUUUGUCCUCUUAUGAAAGCCCACUCUUUUUUGUUUAUUAUGAGAUGAACAGUAAAACCUGAAUUCACUGGAUGCAAGGUGAGAAAGGAAAGGAGGGUCCAAACAGGCUCUGAGUGAGCAUUCACAACUUCUUCAUAAACUGGAUCCUCACUCUGGCUUCCUGACUUCUUGUUUUCUUUGGUGGAAAUAUUGCCCCAGUUUCAACUGAACAUAGCCUUGCUGUAACCACUGUAACCAUAUUUCUGAGGAAAGGAUUCCAAUUAAAUUAUUUCAAGCCAGGUUUCUCACCUGAGUUAAGAAUGAUGUUGCCACUAUAUAUCAAUGACUCACGUAGUGUCUGGAAAACCAUUGCAAAAGCCUUAAGGGAAGUAUUUGUGUGUACAUGCAUACAUAAAUAUAUAUAAAAUAACUGUGUAUAUUUAUAAAAAGGACAAAGAAUAAAUACCUUUUAAAAGACCCAUAUAUUAGUGACAAGAAGGUUCACUAUACACUCUUAUCUCAGCACUACAGUAAACACACCAACCCUUUCUCCAGUAUUCGAAACAUCUCCUGAAGUGUGCAGCCAGAUUACAGGCCUUACACUUUCCAUUAUCCCCUAUUUUAAUUUAAAACAGUACUGCAACAAUUCCUAAUAAAACACCUACUAGUCAUAGCAGGAAUAAACCUAGAAAUUGGCCUUUAGUAGAUUUCAAUGAAAACAGAGUACCAUAGAGACUUCUAAAAAGAUUUUUACGCAAAAACUAGUGUCAUAAAGAUGUAAGUGAUUGUUCACAGUAUAAAACGUUGAUGAAAUACAGACAUUUCCAUUAGCCUUUCUAAAAAGAUUACCCAAAUGUUCAUCAGUGCAUUUUCUUUUCUUUGAAUUGCCUUUAUAGUUUUCCUUCUUAUUAUUUUACUAUUAAACAAUUUGAAAUG
Molecule: long non-coding RNA, 3757 nt
Organism: Cuculus canorus (common cuckoo)
Lineage: Eukaryota; Metazoa; Chordata; Aves; Cuculiformes; Cuculidae
Exons: 3
Source: RefSeq, a predicted model, not a curated record